AUGCUCACUUUGGCAACACAUAUACUAAAAUUGGAACAAUACAGAGAAGAUUAGCAUGGCCCUGCACAAGGAUGACGCAUAAAUUUGUGAAGUGUUCCAUAUUUUG
Molecule: small nuclear RNA, 106 nt
Filed under: Microcebus murinus (gray mouse lemur)
Lineage: Eukaryota; Metazoa; Chordata; Mammalia; Primates; Cheirogaleidae
Source: RNAcentral